RNAcentral lists this ribosomal RNA (388 nucleotides) under uncultured bacterium. Its description in RNAcentral is "bacterial SSU rRNA". It matches the Rfam family "Bacterial small subunit ribosomal RNA", at positions 28 to 417 of the family's 1533-position model. The record is from RNAcentral.
GACGAACACUGGCGGCGUGCUUAACACAUGCAAGUCGAGCGGUAAGGCCCUUUCGGGGGUACACGAGCGGCGAACGGGUGAGUAACACGUGGGUGACCUGCCCUCAGCUCUGGGAUAAGCCUGGGAAACCGGGUCUAAUACUGGAUAUGACUCCAUGACGCAUGUUGUGGGGCGGAAAGCCUUGUGCGGCUGAGGAUGGGCCCGCGGCCUAUCAGCUUGUUGGUGGGGUGANGGCCUACCAAGGCGACGACGGGUAGCCGGCCUGAGAGGGCGACCGGCCACACUGGGACUGAGACACGGCCCAGACUCCUACGGGAGGCAGCAGUGGGGAAUCUUGCGCAAUGGGCGAAAGCUUGACGCAGCGACGCCGCGUGAGGGAUGACGGCCU